GUGGGGAAUCUUGCGCAAUGGGCGAAAGCCUGACGCAGCCAUGCCGCGUGAAUGAUGAAGGUCUUAGGAUUGUAAAAUUCUUUCACCGGGGAUGAUAAUGACGGUACCCGGAGAAGAAGCUCCGGCUAACUUCGUGCCAGCAGCCGCUGUAUUACUAAGGGGGCUAGCGUUGCCCGGAAUUACUGGGCGUAAAGGGCGCGUCGGCGGGCAGUUUAGUGAGAGGUGAAAGCCCAGGGCUCAACCUUGGAAUUGCCUUUGAUACUGGCUGUCUUGAGUUUGGGGAAGGUGAGUGGAACUCCGAGUGUAGAGGUGAAAUUCGUAGAUAUUCGGGAGAACACCAGUGGCGAAGGCGACUCACUGGCCCAAUACUAACGCUGAGGCGCGAAAGCGUGGGGAGCAGACAGGAUUAGAAACCCCUGUAGUCC
Molecule: ribosomal RNA, 425 nt
Filed under: uncultured bacterium
Lineage: Bacteria
Description: partial 16S ribosomal RNA
Rfam family: Bacterial small subunit ribosomal RNA
Source: RNAcentral